RNAcentral lists this ribosomal RNA (301 nucleotides) under uncultured bacterium. Its description in RNAcentral is "partial 16S ribosomal RNA". It matches the Rfam family "Bacterial small subunit ribosomal RNA", at positions 509 to 807 of the family's 1533-position model. The record is from RNAcentral.
CAGUCGCCGCGGUAAUACGUAGGGUGCAAGCGUUAAUCGGAAUUACUGGGCGUAAAGCGUGCGCAGGCGGUUUGUUAAGACAGAUGUGAAAUCCCCGGGCUCAACCUGGGAACUGCAUUUGUGACUGGCAGGCUAGAGUAUGGCAGAGGGGGGUGGAAUUCCGCGUGUAGCAGUGAAAUGCGUAGAUAUGCGGAGGAACACCGAUGGCGAAGGCAGCCCCCUGGGCCAAUACUGACGCUCAUGCACGAAAGCGUGGGGAGCAAACAGGAUUAGAUACCCCUGUAGUCCCUGUCUCUUAUAC